AUUCAGCUGAGGAGUCCCAAAUAGGACGAAAUGUCACUCAUCCUGGAU
RNAcentral lists this non-coding RNA (48 nucleotides) under Schistosoma mattheei. The record is from RNAcentral. Lineage: Eukaryota; Metazoa; Platyhelminthes; Trematoda; Strigeidida; Schistosomatidae.